This 66-nucleotide transfer RNA is filed under the name Onchidella celtica (Celtic sea slug). RNAcentral describes it as "tRNA-Phe". It matches the Rfam family "tRNA". From Rfam's summary of the family: Transfer RNA (tRNA) molecules are approximately 80 nucleotides in length. Their secondary structure includes four short double-helical elements and three loops (D, anti-codon, and T loops). The record is from RNAcentral. Lineage: Eukaryota; Metazoa; Mollusca; Gastropoda; Systellommatophora; Onchidiidae.
UAACAAAUAGCUUAAUCUUAAAGCAUAGCACUGAAGCUGCUAAGACAGGCUUUGCCCUUUUGUUAG